GACAGAGGUGGCGAGCGCUGUUCGGAAUCACUGGGCUUAAAGGGCGAGUAGGCGGUAGGGCAAGUCUGAGGUGGAAUCCUAUGGCUCAACCAUAGAACUGCCUUGGAAACUGUUCUACUUGAGUCAGUGAGGGGAGGGCGGAAUUCCCGGUGUAGCGGUGAAAUGCGUAGAUAUCGGGAGGAAGGCCGGUGGCGAAGGCGGCCCUCUGGCGCUGUACUGACGCUGAGGCGCGAAAGCGUGGGGAGCAAACAGG
Molecule: ribosomal RNA, 253 nt
Filed under: uncultured bacterium
Lineage: Bacteria
Description: partial 16S ribosomal RNA
Rfam family: Bacterial small subunit ribosomal RNA
Source: RNAcentral